Non-coding RNA from Podarcis muralis (Common wall lizard), 391 nucleotides. NCBI's taxonomy places the organism in Eukaryota, Metazoa, Chordata, Lepidosauria, Squamata, Lacertidae. The record is from RefSeq and is a predicted model, not a curated record.
AUUCAGGAGAGGAAUGAUUUGAAUUUUUGCUGAUCUAGGUAUUUCUUCUAAUGCUCUCUCACAGGUGCCUAUGAUUUCGAUCGUGAACAGGGAUGUACUACAGAUUGCACUGUAGAGAGCUAUACUUUCACCAGAGAAGAUGGUCGUUACCUGCGGAGUUUCAGGUCCUGCUGUCGUUCUACAAGCUGUGGCAGUCUAGUUGGUGAAAAGGGAAAACCUAAGUUGAAUGGGCGGGAGUGUCCAACUUGUUGUCCUUCUCUCUCAAAAGCCUGUAAGGGCUCAAAGACCAUCAAGUGUAACGAUGAUGAGACUCAGUGCAUAGAGUUUGUUGUUGCUCACGAUAACAGUUCAAUUCCUGACGAGCAUUUCCACGGCUGUGCAUCCCCAAAAU